GUACAGUACUGAACUGUACACAUCAUCUUUUUGUCACAUGCACGUUAGAAACACACUUUCACCAAACAUUCACCAAUUGCAAUAUUGUUUAUCAAUAUCUCCAUUCAAAUAAAUAAAGCUAAAAAGGAAUGCCAAAUGCAAUUAAAGAAGUGGGAUGCGUUUCUCUUAUGGCUGUGAAAAUACUAGCUUAGACUGAAGUGAGGCAACAGAUGUAUAAUUAAAGUAUUUUCUGUUUUGCUUUGCUUUCAGGAUCCUAUCAGAGGAGAACAAUCUAAUCUGAAGGCUGCAGUGUCAGACUACUGUUUUUCAAUAUUUUUUUCAGUGCUGUUUGCAGAACUAAGGUUCAGGUUGAGCAGGUAGACCAUGCUUCUUCUGACUACUGCUUGGUUUUAUGAUAGCUUAUCUAUCAGAUACUGCAGGCUGAAAAAAGAUUUGAAUCCAGUGGCUUUCUGGGAAACUGCUCUCACUGUGAAGUUAUUAUGAAAGGAGUAGGAACCACAUGCUAUUCUGGCUACAUUUUGAAGAAUAAUGUCAAGCCUGAAGAGCUUCAAGAAUCUCUCAGUGAACUCACAAUGAAAAGCCUAAAUUCAAGCAAUCUGUGCAAUCCCUGUGCCCUAUGGAAAGUCAGGGGGCUUCAGGGAAGACUGUGGUCACUCACAUCUUGAUAUUGGAUGGGUGACGCUGUCAUAAAAAGACAUAGAAUAAAUACAGG
This 712-nucleotide long non-coding RNA is filed under the name Coturnix japonica (Japanese quail). Its description in RNAcentral is "lncRNA (ENSCJPG00005019451.1)". The record is from RNAcentral. Lineage: Eukaryota; Metazoa; Chordata; Aves; Galliformes; Phasianidae.